RNAcentral lists this ribosomal RNA (433 nucleotides) under uncultured bacterium. RNAcentral describes it as "bacterial SSU rRNA". It matches the Rfam family "Bacterial small subunit ribosomal RNA", at positions 28 to 507 of the family's 1533-position model. The record is from RNAcentral.
GACGAACGCUGGCGGCGUGCUUAACACAUGCAAGUCGAACGAAGCCUUCGGGCUUAGUGGCGCACGGGUGCGUAACACGUGGGAAUCUGCCCUUCGGUUCGGAAUAACAGUUAGAAAUGACUGCUAAUACCGGAUGAUGACGUAAGUCCAAAGAUUUAUCGCCGAAGGAUGAGCCCGCGUAGGAUUAGGUAGUUGGUAGGGUAAUGGCCUACCAAGCCGACGAUCCUUAGCUGGUCUGAGAGGAUGAUCAGCCACACUGGGACUGAGACACGGCCCAGACUCCUACGGGAGGCAGCAGUGGGGAAUAUUGGACAAUGGGCGCAAGCCUGAUCCAGCCAUGCCGCGUGAGUGAUGAAGGCCCUAGGGUUGUAAAGCUCUUUCGCCAGGGACGAUAAUGACGGUACCUGGAUAAGAAGCCCAGGCUAACCUCGUG